CAGCCGCCACGGUAAUACGAAGGGUGCAAGCGUUAAUCGGAAUUACUGGGCGUAAAGCGUGCGUAGGCGGUUUGUUAAGUCUGUUGUGAAAUCCCCGGGCUCAACCUGGGAAUGGCAAUGGAUACUGGCAAGCUAGAGUGUGUCAGAGGAUGGUGGAAUUCCCGGUGUAGCGGUGAAAUGCGUAGAGAUCGGGAGGAACAUCAGUGGCGAAGGCGGCCAUCUGGGACAACACUGACGCUGAGGCACGAAAGCGUGGGGAGCAAACAGGAUUAGAUACCCGGGUAGUCCCUGUCUCUUAUAC
Molecule: ribosomal RNA, 301 nt
Filed under: uncultured bacterium
Lineage: Bacteria
Description: partial 16S ribosomal RNA
Rfam family: Bacterial small subunit ribosomal RNA
Source: RNAcentral